This is a non-coding RNA of Cinara cedri, 297 nucleotides long. The record is from the annotation of a GenBank genome assembly. NCBI's taxonomy places the organism in Eukaryota, Metazoa, Arthropoda, Insecta, Hemiptera, Aphididae.
UUAAAAUACAUAAUAAUAUUUAUUAGAUAUUAUUCGAAUAUAGUAUUAUAAUAUUAUAUUUUAUUGUUUCAAACGAAAACAGUUUUCGGAAUUGUAAGCGAAAUCGUUUUUCAUAUACGCGAUUCGAUUAAUUGUACAUUAUAGAAAUAGCGCGGUGUAGUUUUUCCGGAUGUUUUUCUCCCCUAUACGCCCGUGUUGUUAUAAAAAAAAAAAAAAAAAAAAAAAAAAAAAAAAAAAAAACAUAAAAAAGAAAAACAUCCAAAAACGGAAUCGAACGGUCCGAUCCGACCGUAUCAC